CGUGAGUUAGAUUCCUGUCCCCGGCAGUUAUGCCCCACGUGGAGAACAUGGACUCGGUCAACAAGCCUGGCUGUCGGUGACUCAGGACAUGCGGCCUCCGGUGGGUUACUGAACAGCGCGUGGCGGCUCAGCAGAUGAAGCGUAACAGCUCCCAUCAAACAGGAGGCUCUUCCGCGGGAAGCACGCGGGGGCCUGUAGUUUCUAGCAAGUCCCCAUCGUGGUGGAUCUCAAGGUGCGAACUUGGUUGGAAAUAGGGACUUUGUAGGUGUUAUGAUUUCAAGAUGAGGUCAUCCUGGAUUUAGGGUGGGCUCUAAAUCCAGUGAUUGGUGCCAGUGAUGAGGGGAAGAGGCCACGUGACGAUGGGGACCCGGAUUGGGGACUUCAGUGCACCUGAACUGCGACACAGCUGGUCAUUUGAGGCGGCUCUGGGACCCUGGUCCGGCAGCAGGGCAGAGUUGUCCUCGCCAGGGCACCCCGCAGUUCUGCUCAGGACUCGGGACUGCAGCGGAGAGCCACGUGCUUAUCGAUGGAUGUUUCUGGCCUGGGAGAGCUGGCGUUGUGGGGGACACGGAGCACCCACAGCUCUCCUCACCCCCAGCCCCUCGUCCACUCUGCUGUCCGGUACGGGCAUCCCAGGCAGACACCAAAGAGGAAACCCGAAGGCUAAGUCCGAAGGCACAGCCGGUGCCCAAGCUGGGGGAUACAGCAAGUCCCAGGAGUGGACAGAUCCUGGCUCGAGCCCCAGGGUCACCGUCCCCAGCUGUGUGAGCCUUGGUCUCUGUGCUUCAGGACCGGCUGCGCUGCGGAGAUCGCACAGUGCACAGCGGCCUCUAAGGAGGACUGGGGUCAGCCUUGGGACUCCUGCCUCGGAGCUCUUCCCACGCUGGGCACCCGCCACACCACUCCCCAGCCCCCUCCCCCUUCUCCCCAACCCUCUCUCUUGUUUUUUUAUUCAACACUGGGGAUUGAACCCAAGGCCUUCGCACCGAGCUACCUCCCCAGCACUUUUUAUUUUUCAUUUCAGACAGGGUCUCACCAAGUUCCAAAUUGCCCAGGUUGGGCUGGAACUUUGCAUCCUCCUGCCUCGGCCUCCAGAGUGCUGGAAUGACUGCUCCUCUCUCCCUUUACCAAUAAGAUCUCUUCCCAUUGCAAGCGCCGGGGUGGGCCAGGGAUUUAGCCCAUUGGUUCUAGCACCUGACUCUCGCUUCACCUUCAAGAGGUGGAGGCCUUGUCCUACUCUGGGGCCCCUGCAGGGACACCUCCCUUCCCCUUCGGGUCCCUCAGAGCCAGCCCCCUCUGCUCCUGUUUCUCUCCAGGCUGGCCUCCCCUUCCCUCACUGGCCCCUCCUCCCCCUGAGGGCCCCUCAGCCCCUCCUUCAGCCCCAAGGCCCUGACCUGCCCUCCCCUGCACCUAGGCCUCUGCCCCGUGGGUCCUGCUCCUGA
Molecule: long non-coding RNA, 1442 nt
Filed under: Fukomys damarensis (Damara mole-rat)
Lineage: Eukaryota; Metazoa; Chordata; Mammalia; Rodentia; Bathyergidae
Description: lncRNA (ENSFDAG00000032373.1)
Source: RNAcentral